Molecule: long non-coding RNA, 1470 nt
Organism: Syngnathus acus (greater pipefish)
Lineage: Eukaryota; Metazoa; Chordata; Actinopteri; Syngnathiformes; Syngnathidae
Exons: 2
Source: RefSeq, a predicted model, not a curated record
GGCAGGGCGGAAAAUAUGGCGCUCGGAAGGCAGACGGGCUGGAAGGGAGCGCGUCGAGUACGGUGCGUAAUGCAAAUGAUCACAACGACCGAUUUCAAAUCCCCACGAACGGCUUCGGUGACACACAACAGUUAUUAACAACUCUCUCGGGUACAGUUUAAUGGGCCAGGACGGACGAGAAGUAGUGGUUCCGGGCUCACCCGUAAGGUUCACGACACACGCACAAACCUGCCGGAUAGUCACUGGGAGCUGCGCUCGCGAUGUCUUUCUUCCUCUUCUCAUUCAAAGAACCUCACGCUGCCUGCCUCAUUUUCUAAUUGUGUGUUUUGCAGAAGUGACCAACAAACAAACACACGGGUUGUAACGCAGGGGUUAAAUUACGGAAAGGCCCUCGGGGUUCGACUUCCAGUGAAUAAACAUAAAAUGCAAAUUGCAUAGGGUGCUGUGUCAUAGUGUCACAAUGUUCCCUGGUGGUUUCAAACAGUUGGAACCCGAUUUUUAGGUCUGAAUACGCUAAAUUAGUGGGUUGUAUGGGGGGGGCUUUAUUCCUUUAAAUGGAAGGCGAAACAUUGGCACCUCUUCCUCGGACCGCGAGCGCUCCCUGUUGGACACUAUGACAAUAACAGCGACGCUGACAUUUAUUUGGAAUUAUUUAAUCAUCUGGAAAACAAACAAUAAAUUGUUAAAUGACAAAGCAAUAUGCGUUCUUUGUGGCGAAGAAUAACAUUUAAUCCAAGUCAUACUCAUGUGAUAUGAUAAAACGUCCAGUGACUUGCUGAUAUCUUUAAUAUUGGUAGAUUUUAUUGUCUUUACAUUGUAUGACUUUCGUUCACUAAAACACUACAUUACAUCCGAGACAGUGCCAUAUUUAGAUGGUUACAUCCUGAACUGGUUGCCAGUCGAUCAAAGUCCACUGGUUCGAGGUUCUUGUGACAGCAGAACCAAGUUCUCUAUGUCUCCACUAGGUGGCGUUGUCUAACCAGUUCUGCUCUUCUCUCCCCAAGGCCAAUAGAUCUGAUGACGUAACCAUGUUGCUCAGCAGAUGCACGGUGUCAGGCUGCCUCCCAUCAGGAUGCAACCUUCGGAUUGAAGCGAGAUCGAAGUUAUGCUGAGCUCCAGCUGUAACGGUGACUCCGUGCAAGUACACUUCAUGCAUACACUAUAGACAGUGAACAGUAGUUUUGUCCAGAAAAAAAUUUAAAUCAGUUUAUUACUGUAAAAUACAACCACAUAAAAUAGUCAAAAACUACAACUCGCCCUUGGAAAAUGUGACAAAAACACCUUGAGCUACAGCCUCACGAGUGUAAUAAAUGUUUAGGGCAUAAAGGAACAAUUUAAGCAUAUAACAGAUAGAGGGCAGCAUGGAUCUGUUUUAUGCAAUUAUCCUGCACCACCCUUUUAGUCCUUUUGUCCAGUGUCGCUAUAUUGGUUUAAAUUGAUAGACUGCACACUGUGGUGUAUUUUUUUUUU